GCACUGCCGAGGAGUCCCACAAUAGGACGAAACGGCCGUCCACUGC
RNAcentral lists this non-coding RNA (46 nucleotides) under Schistosoma mansoni. Lineage: Eukaryota; Metazoa; Platyhelminthes; Trematoda; Strigeidida; Schistosomatidae. The record is from RNAcentral.